AGUGAACGCUGGCGGUAGGCCUAACACAUGCAAGUCGAACGACAGCACAGUAAGAGCUUGCUCUUACGGGUGGCGAGUGGCGGACGGGUGAGGAGUACAUCGGAAUCUACUUUUUCGUGGGGGCUAACGUAGGGAAACUUACGCUAAUACCGCAUACGUCCUACGGGUGAAAGCAGGGGAUCUUCUGACUUUGCGCGAUGGAAUGAGCCGAUGUCGGAUUAGCUAGUUGGCGGGGUAAAGGCCCACCAAGGCGACGAUCCGUAGCUGGUCUGAGAGGAUGAUCAGCCACCCUGGAACUGAGACACGGUCCAGACUCCUACGGGAGGCAGCAGUGGGGAAUAUUGGACAAUGGGCGCAAGCCUGAUCCAGCCAUGCCGCGUGAGUGAAGAAGGCCUUCGGGUUGUAAAGCCCUGUUGUUGGGAAAGAAAAGCAGCAGGUUAAUCCCCCGCUGUUCUGACGGUACCCAAAGAAUAAGCACCGGCUAACUUCGUG
RNAcentral lists this ribosomal RNA (492 nucleotides) under uncultured bacterium. Its description in RNAcentral is "partial 16S ribosomal RNA". It matches the Rfam family "Bacterial small subunit ribosomal RNA", at positions 29 to 507 of the family's 1533-position model. The record is from RNAcentral.